UGAACGCUGGCGGUAGGCCUAACACAUGCAAGUCGAACGGCAGCACAGUAAGAGCUUGCUCUUAUGGGUGGCGAGUGGCGGACGGGUGAGGAAUACAUCGGAAUCUACUCUGUCGUGGGGGAUAACGUAGGGAAACUUACGCUAAUACCGCAUACGACCUACGGGUGAAAGCAGGGGAUCUUCGGACCUUGCGCGAUUGAAUGAGCCGAUGUCGGAUUAGCUAGUUGGCGGGGUAAAGGCCCACCAAGGCGGCGAUCCGUAGCUGGUCUGAGAGGAUGAUCAGCCACACUGGAACUGAGACACGGCCCAGACUCCUACGGGAGGCAGCAGUCGGGAAUUUUGCGCAAUGGGGGAAACCCUGACGCAGCAAUACCGCGUGUGGGAUGAAGGCCUUCGGUCGUAAACCACUUUUUCGGGUACGAUAAUGACGGUACCCGAAGAAUAAGCCACGGCUAACUACGUGCCAGCAGCCGCGGUAAUCU
This 482-nucleotide ribosomal RNA is filed under the name uncultured bacterium. Its description in RNAcentral is "bacterial SSU rRNA". It matches the Rfam family "Bacterial small subunit ribosomal RNA", at positions 30 to 526 of the family's 1533-position model. The record is from RNAcentral.